This 712-nucleotide long non-coding RNA is filed under the name Gallus gallus (chicken). RNAcentral's name for it is "lncRNA (ENSGALG00010028313.1)". Lineage: Eukaryota; Metazoa; Chordata; Aves; Galliformes; Phasianidae. The record is from RNAcentral.
GUUGUCCCUCUUCAUAGCAUGGGAGUUGGACUAGAUGACCCUUAAAGGUCUCUCCCAACUCAAAGCAUUCUAUGACUCCAAGAAGAUUCUGUCCUGGAAUAAGCCAUGCAUAGUUCACUGUGGCUGCGUGUUUGUGAGGAGGUUUUAUAGAAGUUGGAGCUUGUCCUGUCUCUCUUUCUCUGUUUGGAGAAGAAAGAUGCCCAAGUACGUAGCUGGAGGAGGAAAACUCUUGAGGUUAUUAUCUGUUCUCAAAAGAACAUUGAAAUACAUGGGCAAUGUACAGUAGGACAAACAAAGCAAGGAGAGGAGCUUUUGUGAGAACAAAGCAUUUUUGUUCUUUACCACCACUGACUACUGAAAUGAACAGCUUCCUUAGGUGAUGGAAAGCCACUGCCCUGUUCAGUAAACCUGCCUCUUGUUUUUCUGAGUAAUGCUGGGGAAAGACACCAUUUCCAAAAGUGUUUCCUUUGUUUGACCCGUCAUCUCUCAUUGCUGUGAAAGGUGUCUGAGCCUGACAGGCCUGAUGAGACUGCAGCAGAGAUAUGGCUACAGAGCAUGUUCUUGUCUCCUGGAUACUCCCACGGCUCUUCAGAAGCACUCUGAACAGCCACAAAGACUUGCUAGGGAACAAAGCAAAGGGAGAGUCUUGGUGAGACAACGUGCAGGGAGAACUGACAGCCAGCCAAAAGCCCCAUCCAGCUACAAGAAGUUU